GUACUUGCUUCGGCAGCACAUAUACUAAAAUUGGAAAGAUACAGAGAAGAUUAGCAUGGCCCCUGCACAAGAAAUACUCAGAUUAGAACAUAGGCUGCUUCUCUUUUC
This is a small nuclear RNA of Suncus etruscus (white-toothed pygmy shrew), 108 nucleotides long. The record is from RefSeq and is a predicted model, not a curated record. NCBI's taxonomy places the organism in Eukaryota, Metazoa, Chordata, Mammalia, Eulipotyphla, Soricidae.